This 361-nucleotide RNase P RNA is filed under the name uncultured Bacteroides sp. RNAcentral's name for it is "Bacterial RNase P class A". It matches the Rfam family "Bacterial RNase P class A". Rfam says of the family: Ribonuclease P (RNase P) is a ubiquitous endoribonuclease, found in archaea, bacteria and eukarya as well as chloroplasts and mitochondria. Its best characterised activity is the generation of mature 5'-ends of tRNAs by cleaving the 5'-leader elements of precursor-tRNAs. The record is from RNAcentral. Lineage: Bacteria; Pseudomonadati; Bacteroidota; Bacteroidia; Bacteroidales; Bacteroidaceae.
AGUCGGCCGGUCUGUCGCUUGUGCAGCUUGCGCAGGAGGAAAGUCCGGGCAACACAGAGCAUCCCACUUCCUAACAGAAAGCUGUCCGCGAGGGUGGAGUAACGCAGAAGAAAAGAACCGCCUCCGGAGUCACAUCCGGCGGUAAGGGUGAGAAGGUGGGGUAAGAGCCCACCGGCCUUGUGGCGACACAAGGGCCGUGCGUCUUGGGAGUUGUAAGGUCAUGUAAACCGGCGUCAAGAGAGUUGCUCGCUCCAUGUCGGAGGGUAGACCGCUAAAGCCGCAUGGCGACAUGCGGACGAGAUAAAUGACAGACGUCCCGUGGCUUCACGGGAAACAGAACCCGGCUUACAGGCCGACUGCU